RNAcentral lists this ribosomal RNA (700 nucleotides) under uncultured Nitrospira sp. RNAcentral's name for it is "bacterial SSU rRNA". It matches the Rfam family "Bacterial small subunit ribosomal RNA", at positions 63 to 755 of the family's 1533-position model. Lineage: Bacteria; Pseudomonadati; Nitrospirota; Nitrospiria; Nitrospirales; Nitrospiraceae. The record is from RNAcentral.
CGAGCGAGAAGACGUAGCAAUACGUUUGCAAAGCGGCGAACGGGUGAGGAAUACAUGGGUAACCUACCCUAGAGUGGGGAAUAACUAGCCGAAAGGUUAGCUAAUACCGCGUACGCUCCCUGGACUUCGGUUCAGGGGGGAAAGCGCUACCGAGGGUAGCGCGCUCUUGGAUGGGCUCAUGUCCUAUCAGCUUGUUGGUGAGGUAACGGCUCACCAAGGCUUCGACGGGUAGCUGGUCUGAGAGGACGAUCAGCCACACUGGCACUGCGACACGGGCCAGACUCCUACGGGAGGCAGCAGUAAGGAAUAUUGCGCAAUGGGCGAAAGCCUGACGCAGCGACGCCGCGUGGGGGAUGAGGGUCUUCGGAUUGUAAACCCCUUUCGGGAGGGAAGAUGGAGUGGGGUAACCCACUCGGACGGUACCUCCAGAAGCAGCCACGGCUAACUUCGUGCCAGCAGCCGCGGUAAUACGAAGGUGGCAAGCGUUAUUCGGAUUUACUGGGCGUACAGGGAGCGUAGGCGGUUCGGUAAGCCCUCUGUGAAAUCUUCAGGCUUAACCUGGAAAAGUCGGAGGGGACUGCCGGGCUAGAGGACGGGAGAGGAGCGCGGAAUUCCCGGUGUAGCGGUGAAAUGCGUAGAGAUCGGGAGGAAGGCCGGUGGCGAAGGCGGCGCUCUGGAACGUUUCUGACGCUGAGGCUCG